GGACGCAUGGCUCAGUUGGUUAGAGCGCUCCGUUCACAUCGGAGAGGCCGAAGGUUCAAGUCCUUCUGCGUCCACCA
This 77-nucleotide transfer RNA is filed under the name bacterium. Its description in RNAcentral is "tRNA-Val". It matches the Rfam family "tRNA". Rfam says of the family: Transfer RNA (tRNA) molecules are approximately 80 nucleotides in length. Their secondary structure includes four short double-helical elements and three loops (D, anti-codon, and T loops). Further hydrogen bonds mediate the characteristic L-shaped molecular structure. tRNAs have two regions of fundamental functional importance: the anti-codon, which is responsible for specific mRNA codon recognition, and the 3' end, to which the tRNAs corresponding amino acid is attached (by aminoacyl-tRNA synthetases). tRNAs cope with the degeneracy of the genetic code in two manners: having more than one tRNA (with a specific anti-codon) for a particular amino acid; and 'wobble' base-pairing, i.e. permitting non-standard base-pairing at the 3rd anti-codon position. The record is from RNAcentral.